Unclassified non-coding RNA from Panthera pardus (leopard), 133 nucleotides. It matches the Rfam family "Y RNA". From Rfam's summary of the family: Y RNAs are components of the Ro ribonucleoprotein particle (Ro RNP), in association with Ro60 and La proteins. The Y RNAs and Ro60 and La proteins are well conserved, but the function of the Ro RNP is not known. Lineage: Eukaryota; Metazoa; Chordata; Mammalia; Carnivora; Felidae. The record is from Ensembl.
GGUUGGUUUGAAGGUAGUGAGUUAUCUCAACUGAUGGUUUGCAUUCACUUAUAGACCAACUCCUUGUUUUACUCUUCUCCCCUCCCCUUCCCCCCCACCCCCACAGCUUCUCACUACUGCGCUUGACUCUAAA